GUGGGUGUAGCUCAGCCGGUAGAGCACUGGGUUGUGGUCCCAGGGGUCGCGGGUUCGAAUCCCGUCACUCACCCCA
Molecule: transfer RNA, 76 nt
Filed under: Pseudonocardia sp.
Lineage: Bacteria; Bacillati; Actinomycetota; Actinomycetes; Pseudonocardiales; Pseudonocardiaceae
Also listed under: 2 other names
Description: tRNA-His
Rfam family: tRNA
About the family: Transfer RNA (tRNA) molecules are approximately 80 nucleotides in length. Their secondary structure includes four short double-helical elements and three loops (D, anti-codon, and T loops).
Source: RNAcentral